RNAcentral lists this ribosomal RNA (511 nucleotides) under uncultured bacterium. Its description in RNAcentral is "partial 16S ribosomal RNA". It matches the Rfam family "Bacterial small subunit ribosomal RNA", at positions 28 to 507 of the family's 1533-position model. The record is from RNAcentral.
GACAAACGCUGGCGGCAUGCCUAACACAUGCAAGUCGAACGGACAGAACAGGGAAGCUUUUCGGAGUGGAACUGGAAAGUUAGUGGCGGAUGGGUGAGUAACGCGUGGACAACCUACCUUGUAAAGGGGAAUAACCUCGAGAAAUCGAAGCUAAUACCCCAUAAUAACCUUGCUUCGCAUGAAGUAAGGAGGAAAGGCGGCCUUAGCGCUGUCGAUACAAGAUGGGUCCGCGUCUGAUUAGCUAGUUGGUGAGGUAGAGGCUCACCAAGGCGACGAUCAGUAGCCGGCCUGAGAGGGUGAACGGCCACAUUGGGACUGAGACACGGCCCAAACUCCUACGGGAGGCAGCAGUGGGGAAUCUUCCGCAAUGGGCGAAAGCCUGACGGAGCAAUGCCGCGUGAGUGAAGAAGGCCUUCGGGUUGUAAAACUCUGUCCUUAUCGAAGAGAGAGUGUUGUAGUAACUGACAAUACUAGGACGGUAGAUGAGGAGGAAGCCCCGGCUAACUAUGUG